Molecule: ribosomal RNA, 2313 nt
Filed under: [Emmonsia] crescens
Lineage: Eukaryota; Fungi; Ascomycota; Eurotiomycetes; Onygenales; Ajellomycetaceae
Description: Emmonsia crescens 23S ribosomal RNA
Rfam family: Bacterial large subunit ribosomal RNA (bases 397-2313)
Source: RNAcentral
CCCAUAAAAAGUACCUGGGUAUAUCCAAAGUUAAUAAUGUAAGUUUGUAAAACAGGCUAAUUUGCGCAAGAGAGUACAAAUUGAGUGCGCGGUUUGGCACCUCGAUGUCGGCUUAGCUCAUCCACAUGAAUGUAGAAAUCAUGAAGGGUACGACUGUUCGUCGGUUAAAGAGCUACACGAGCUGGGUUUAAUACGUCGUGAGACAGUAUGGUUUCUAUCUUCUAGAGGUAAUUAGAGUCUAAUAUAGAUAGCCCCUUCGUACGAAAGGAGUUGGGUAUGCUGACCUAUGGUUUACCUGUUGUUUAACUUUGAUAUUUUAUAUAUCCUAUACUACUUUCACUUAAGUAGUAUUGUUUAUUAAGCAUGGCAGGAAAGCUAAGUCAGUUAGAGAUAAGUGCUGAAUGCAUUUAAGCGCGAAGCUUACUAUACUAUACAACAAAGUGAAUUGAAAUAUCUUAAUAACUUUAGGAAAAAAAAUCAAACGAGAUUUUAUUAUUAGUGUAAACUAAUAUAAAAAAGCUUACAAGUAAAAUGGAAAAUAUCUGUUUGAAUAUAGGGGAACCUUCCUCUAAAGCUAAAUAUAAUAUAUAAGCGAUAGCGAAUAGUACCGUGAGGUAUAGAUAGAAAUAGUAGUUUUAUAAGCAGCUCAAAAAAAAAUUUAAAUAAAUAAUACGAGCGGACCUUUUGCAUAAUGGGUCAGCAAGUUAAACUUAGAUGCAAGCAAAUAAAAAUUAUUUGCCUAGAUAAACCAAUUAUGAAAAAAUGAUAAGUAUCUAAAUUUAGACCCGAAGGCUAGUGAUCUUACCAUGAUCAGGCUUAAGGCCGAACGGGUUAUCGUUGUAAAGAUAUCCGAUGAAUUGUGGUAAGUUGGUGAAAGACAAAACUGACUAGUAUAGCUGGUUUUCCGCGAAACCUAUGUGAGUAGGUAAUUUAAUUAACAUCUUAGCAGGUACAGAACUAGGAUCUCGGACAAUAUGAAAAUUUUGUACACAUCGGGGGAUCGUGAUGAUUUUAUCGGAGAGUAUUUGCACUCGAAAGGGCAAAGAUGAAUAUUGAAUAAUCGGACAUAGUGCGAUAAGGUUGUAUGUCUAAAGGGAAACAGCCCUGAACAAGAGUUAUAAGGUUCCAAAAUUAUUAUUGAGUGAAAUUAAGGAUGUACUUAUCAAAUACAACCAGGAAAUAGGCUUAGAAGCGGCCAUUUUUUGAAGAUCUCGUAACAGAGCACUGGUUAAUAAAAAAAAUUUUUUUAGAUAGAUAUUUAUACCGAAAAUUUAACGGAUCUAAAUAAUAUACCGAAACCUUGUUCGUAUAUAUUAAUAUAUACUAUUAUUUAUUUAUUUAAAUAUAUAUAUAUAUAUAUGAGGUAGCGGAACAUUGGAUAAAUAUUAGAUUUUUUCUUUUUUAAGAUAAAAAAAAUAUAUAAGAAUCCAAGAGAGAAUGCUGGCAUGAGUAACGAAAAAGGAUUUAACAUCCUCGCCUUAAGCUUAUGGUAUUUUAUUUAAAUUUCGGUGUCUAAGUAAGAGGUUUAAUAAGUAAAACAAGUAAUUGUUUGAAAAAAACUUCUCCGAAUGGAUUUAAUUACGAUGAUAUAAAUAGAAAUAGAUUAGAGAAAAAACCUUUAUAAAGUGUUAAAGGUUCAGGAAAUUAUAUCUAAUCAAAUAAGGAAUCUGAACAAAUAUGAAGAGUAAGAUUCCUUUAUAAACCGUACCUAAAUACUAACACAAGUAAGCAAGUAGAGUAUACAAAGGCGUUUGAGUGAACAAUCAUUAAGGAACUCGGCAAAUUGACUCCGUAACUUCGGGAUAAGGAGGGCCGUUAUUACAGAAAAAUUUUUUUUUUCUGUUAAAUAAGAGGAAACAUAAAAUAAUGUUGUACGACUGUUUAAUUAAAACAAAUCACUCUGCAAAGAUUAAAAAUCAAAGUAUUGAGUGUGAUGUCUGCCCAAUGUCGGUUGUAUAACUGAGAUACUUAAUUUAAAAGGUUAGGUUUUGAAGGACACCCCGAUCAAUGGCGGCCUUAUCUAUAAGGGUCCUAAGGUAGCGGAAUACCCUGGCCGUUAAAUGCGGUCUUGCAUGAAUGACUUAACGAUACAACAGCUGUCUCGAUGAUUGGCUCAGUGAAAUUGGAAUAGCAGUGCAGAUACUGCUUAACUCUAGGUAGACGAGAAGACCCUAUGCAGCUUUACUGUUACCUUUUAUGAAUAUAGUAAGUCAAUUGUGAGUGUAUAAGGUAAUUGUUCGGUAAAAUUGAAACACCUUUAUUUAAACUAUUAUAUUCUUUAUGACUGGAAGACAGUUUAUGCGGGGCACAGAU